Molecule: non-coding RNA, 45 nt
Organism: Camponotus floridanus (Florida carpenter ant)
Lineage: Eukaryota; Metazoa; Arthropoda; Insecta; Hymenoptera; Formicidae
Source: Rfam
UAAACGGCCCUUUUUAGGGCCACCAAUUUCUUCAUAUACGAAGGA